CGAACGCUGGCGGCGUGCUUAACACAUGCAAGUCGAGCGAUGAAGCACCUUCGGGUGUGAAUUAGCGGCGAACGGGUGAGGAACACGUGAAGAAUCUGCCUUCAACUCUGGGAUAACUCCGGGAAACCGGGGCUAAUACCGGAUAUGAGCCUUGAUCGCAUGAUCGGGGCUGGAAAGUUUUUCGGUUGAAGAUGACUUCGCGGCCUAUCAGCUUGUUGGUGAGGUAAUGGCUCACCAAGGCGACGACGGGUAGCCGGCCUGAGAGGGCGACCGGCCACACUGGGACUGAGACACGGCCCAGACUCCUACGGGAGGCAGCAGUGGGGAAUAUUGGGCAAUGGAGGAAACUCUGACCCAGCGACGCCGCGUGAGGGAUGAAGGCCUUCGGUUGUAAACCUCUUUCAGUAGGAAGAAGCGAAAGUGACGGUACCGUACAGAAGAAGCACCGGCUAACUAUGUGCCAGCAG
Molecule: ribosomal RNA, 467 nt
Filed under: uncultured bacterium
Lineage: Bacteria
Description: bacterial SSU rRNA
Rfam family: Bacterial small subunit ribosomal RNA
Source: RNAcentral